AAAUCGUGAACUGAGGCCUCAGUGUAAUAGCCCAUGAGGAACUGAAUUAUUUCAACAGCCAGAUGUAGUAAACACUCACUGAGAAAAUGAGGUUGAUUCUGGAAGAUGGAAGUAUAAGAUCAGAUAGCCAGCAUCAUCAGGUACUCAUGAGGGCCGUCUUCCAGCUUGCAGACUGCCAACUUCUCAUUGUGUCCUCAGCUUAGUACAGGAACAACAGACAGCCAGACAAUUUUGCCAUUCACUGGGACACACGAGAUGGAACCCAAUAGAAGUCAAGAGAAAACUAAAUUCAAAUAUUUACAGAGGCAAUAGAAAGGCCUAGGAUUGAGACACAAUAGCAAUGAACAGAAGAACUAACAGUUCAAAACUUAGGGCUAAGCACAGUGGCUCAUGACCGUAAUCU
This 403-nucleotide non-coding RNA is filed under the name Pongo abelii (Sumatran orangutan). Lineage: Eukaryota; Metazoa; Chordata; Mammalia; Primates; Hominidae. The record is from RNAcentral.